This 404-nucleotide ribosomal RNA is filed under the name uncultured bacterium. RNAcentral describes it as "partial 16S ribosomal RNA". It matches the Rfam family "Bacterial small subunit ribosomal RNA", at positions 28 to 526 of the family's 1533-position model. The record is from RNAcentral.
GAUGAACGCUGACAGAAUGCUUAACACAUGCAAGUCAACUGUGGCGGACGGGUGAGUAACGCGUAAAGAACUUGCCUCACAGUUAGGGACAACAUUUGGAAACGAAUGCUAAUACCUGAUACUGUGAGAGAGCUUUGCGUCCCAUUAGCUAGUUGGAGAGGUAACGGCUCACCAAGGCGAGGAUGGGUAGCCGGCCUGGGAGGGUGAUCGGCCACAAGGGGACUGAGAGAGGGCCCUUACUCCUACUGGAGGCAGCAGUGAGGAAUAUUGGACAAUGGACCAAAGUGUGAAGCAGCAAUUCGGUGUGCACGAUGAAUUUUUCGGAAUGUAAAGUGCUUUCAGUUGGGAAGCAGUACCAACAGAAGAAGUGACGGCUAAAUACGUGCCAGCAGCCGCGGUAAUAC